RNAcentral lists this ribosomal RNA (253 nucleotides) under uncultured Coprococcus sp. Its description in RNAcentral is "partial 16S ribosomal RNA". It matches the Rfam family "Bacterial small subunit ribosomal RNA", at positions 524 to 776 of the family's 1533-position model. Lineage: Bacteria; Bacillati; Bacillota; Clostridia; Lachnospirales; Lachnospiraceae. The record is from RNAcentral.
UACGUAGGGGGCAAGCGUUAUCCGGAUUUACUGGGUGUAAAGGGAGCGUAGGUGGUUUGGUAAGUCAGAUGUGAAAGCCCAGGGCUCAACCCUGGGACUGCAUUUGAAACUAUCAGACUGGAGUGCAGGAGAGGUAAGUGGAAUUCCUAGUGUAGCGGUGAAAUGCGUAGAUAUUAGGAGGAACACCAGUGGCGAAGGCGGCUUACUGGACUGUAACUGACACUGAGGCUCGAAAGCGUGGGGAGCAAACAGG